This 928-nucleotide long non-coding RNA is filed under the name Mytilus galloprovincialis (Mediterranean mussel). The record is from RNAcentral. Lineage: Eukaryota; Metazoa; Mollusca; Bivalvia; Mytilida; Mytilidae.
UGAAUGAAAUAAUUAUACAGUUUUAAACAAUUACACAUUACAAUGUUCGACGCGACCUUGUUACAUUCUGUAUUAUGAAAUGUAUACAUAGUACUUAACAUAAAUCCCUCACAGUUUUGUUCGACGCGACCUUAUUACAUUCUGUAUUAUGAAAUGUUCAUACUAUAUAUCUAGAAACCACAUAGUAAACUUUACUUACAGUUUUUUGUGAAUUCAUUUAAUUUCUAGGGUCCCAAUUUUCGUAGAUUGAUGGAAACUUGCAUUUUCGUGGAUAUUUGAUUGCGUACUUCUGCCAAAGUUUUCAUACAUUCUUAUAGAAAAUUUGUAAUUCGUUGUUCAUAGGAAUUCGCGGUUCCCUAAAAACAACGAAAUCCACGAAAAUCGGUAUCAAGCGAAUGAAACAAAUCUUCGAACACAUUAAAAAGAGAAUUCAGGGGACAAAACAAGGAACUCAAACAAAUAAUAUGAAAACUAUAGUUUUGGUUUAUGCCAAAACAGUGGGACUAUUUCAGAAGGGUUACAAUAUCUUGCAACAACCGUCGACUUGGUAGGUGGACUAUGCUAAAAGGGAGUUUUUUCGGUGAGGUUAUUCUAAAACAAUAUUCAUUAUGUAUUGUACACUUUUAAUACAAUUAUUUCUCUGUAAUAUCGCAUUAUAUAUCAAGUGUUUAGUGUAUUACUAUAUAUGUGUCCCAUUAUCCUAAAAUCAAGACAAGAAAAAUAUAAACAUAUCAUAUCUGGUCCCGACUUUGAUCGAUAAUGUCAAACUAGACAAAAUAUUUUCAUUCUCAAGUCAAUAUAACUUAAAUAAAUGUUUUCACUUUUGCAAAGAAAUAUUGUCAAUUUCCUCCUGUAGAGGCAAUAUCACUCUGGACAAUACUAACAUAACGUGAUAGAGAUUGGUCAAAUGAUUACCCCAAAUUUGAAU